GUYUUUUUGUUAAAAAUUUAAAGUCAGGCCUGCCCACUGAAAUUUUAAAUGGCCGUGGUAUUUUGACCGUGCUAAGGUAGCAUAAUCAUUAGUUUUUUAAUUGAAAGCUGGAAUGAAAGGUUUGAUAAAAAAAUGACUGUCUCUAUUUAAUUUUAUUAGAAAUUUAUUUUUAAGUUCAAAAGCUUAAUUAUUAUUAAAAGACGAGAAGACCCUAUAGAGUUUAAUAAUUUAAGGUAAUUUAUAUUUUAGAAUUAAUUUAUUUAUUUUUUAAUAUUAUUUAAUUGGGGUGAUUGAAAAAUUUAAUUAACUUUUUUUAUAUUUAACCAUUAAUUUAUGAUAAUUUGAUCCAAUUUUUUUGAUUAUAAGAUAAAAUUACCUUAGGGAUAACAGCGUAAUUUUUUUAGAAAGUUCAAAUUAAAAGAAAAGAUUGCGACCUCGAUGUUGGAUUAAAAUUAAAUUUUGGUGUAGAAGCUAAAAAUUUUAAGUCUGUUCGACUUUUAAAAUUUUACA
RNAcentral lists this ribosomal RNA (510 nucleotides) under Calligrapha multipunctata. RNAcentral describes it as "partial 16S ribosomal RNA". The stretch from base 383 to 510 matches the Rfam family "Bacterial large subunit ribosomal RNA", at positions 2473 to 2600 of the family's 2925-position model. Lineage: Eukaryota; Metazoa; Arthropoda; Insecta; Coleoptera; Chrysomelidae. The record is from RNAcentral.